GCAGCUUCCUUCUGAUUUCGUGGAAUUCUUCCCUUCUUAUUAGUAUGUAUGGCUGCCCAGAUGCAAGCAAGCUUCUAUUCUUUAGCUACUAACAUUCUUUCUUCUUUUCCAAGUACUGCAAAUGGGGGAUUUCUGCCAUUACAAUCCUCGGGCAUCACAAUUGCCCAUUCGUGACAGAAAAAAAUACGACGUUUUCUUGAGUUUUCGGGGUCCCGAUGUGAGAAAAACCUUUGCGGAUCAUCUUUACCAAUCUCUCUCCAUUGCAGGAUUGAAUGUCUUUAUAGACAGUGAGAAAUUGGAAAAGGGUGAAGUAAUUGGUAUGAGUCUGCAGCAGGCCAUUCAAAACUCUACAAUCUAUAUACCCAUAUUUUCUCCUGAUUAUGCGACUUCAGUAUGGUGCCUCAGGGAGGUCUCCCUGAUGUGGCAAAUGAAGUCCACAAACGCGCACAUUAUGAUACCUCUCUUUUAUAAUGUGGAACCCUCACAUGUCAGGCAUGGAGGAGGCCCAUAUGCUAAGGCUUUUAAUAAACAUUGCACUCAAGGUCCGUAUCGCCCAGAGGUGAUCAAAGGCUGGAGAGAUGUGCUGUGUGAAGUCUCUUAUUUAUCUGGGUGGUCUCUCGUAGAAACGUCCGCCGGGUACGAAGGGAAGCUUGUGAAUCAAGUGGUGAAGGACGUUCUCCAGACAUUGGAUUUCGGAAUGCUAGAGGUGGCCCAACACCCUGUGGGACUCAUACCUCGCUGUGAGAAGGUGCUACAGUUGUUGAGAUUGGGCGAUGAGACAAGUGAUAGGCUCACCCUUGGUAUUUGGGGCAUGGGUGGUCUGGGUAAAACCAACCUGUCAAAAGCCCUUUAUAACGAGAUCCGUCAUCUCUUUGAAACUUCCUCUUUUGUAUCUAAUGUAAAACUUGAGGAAUCCCGCAAGGGACCUAUAAAAUUGCAGCAACAGAUCCUCAAGGAUCUGUUGAAAACUAAGAUAAAGCUGAAUGAUAUUGAUCAUGGAAAUAUUGUAAUGAGAACUCGUUUGGCUUCCAUAAAAGCACUGGUGGUCUUGGAUGAUGUUGACAAUGAGCGACAGUUAGAUGCUCUAAUGGGUGACUGGUUUGGGAAAGGUAGCAAAAUCAUCAUUACAACCCGAGAUAAACGUGUCUUGGAGGUGCGGCAAGUUGAUGUGAUUUACCCCAUGAGAGGACUUGAGCAUGCAGAAGCUCUGGAGCUAUUCAGUUGGCAUGCCUUUCGCAGAGAGCACCCGGAAAAAGGCUUUGAAAAUAUGACAGAGAGAAUUGUGAAAACUUGUUCGGGUCUUCCUCUGUCUUUGAGAAUUAUAGGCACAGACCUAUACAAUAGAGAUAAGACUAGGUAUUGGCCUGAAGUCCUGCACAAACUUGAAAAUGUCGGCCACGAUGUUGCCUUUGAAACCCUCAAAAUCAGUUACGAUAAUCUAGCCUCUGUAGAGCAACACAUCUUCUUAGACAUAGCCUGUUUCUUCGUUGAAAGUAAGAGUAGUGACUUCAUUGAGAAUAGGGCUUUCAGUACAGAUUUCUAUGUUAGAUUCUGGAGUGCUUUUGGGUGUGAGUCUGUGUUUACAAGUCUUAAAACCCUUGAAGAGAAGGCACUCCUUGUAAUUCACAAGCACAGACAUAUUGAGGCCAUAGAUGAUGAUGUGGAUGAAGACGACUACAGGGGUCAGUACUUUUGGGAAUUUUGUAUGCAUGAUCAGAUAAGAGACAUGGGUAGACGAAUAGUCCGAGAGGAAUCCUGGAACAACCCAACCAAACGCAGUAGAGUUUGGCGGGAGGAGGACAUACGUACUCUAAUGACUGCCACGACCAUCCAGGAAAACUCAAAUAUAGAGGGCCUCGUGUGGAGAAAGCGCAUGGAGCUUCAGCAUUUAGACACUUUGGCACCAUUGCAGAAAUUAGGUUUCUUGCUAUGGUGGGAAUUGCAGGUAAAGACCGAGAUAAAAAGACUACCUACAAAUCUAAAAUAUCUGGUCUUAUCCGAGUGUCAAUUGAAGAACUACGAUCCCCAGAUGGCUGGAAUAGAGAGCGGUAGUGACCAUAAUAGAUCAUCUGUCCUUUCCCCUGUUCUGCCUAAAUCCAUAGCCAAACUUAUAUAUCUGAGAUACCUUGAUAUGAGCGGUACUAAACAAAGUUGCCUUCCAAAUGAAAUCUGUGAGCUUCAAUGCUUGGAAGAGUUAUAUUUAAGCAGAUGCAGUUUACAGGCCCUGCCUGAAGCUUUUGGAAAUCUUAUCAAGCUAAAGACAUUUGAUGUUAGCAACAAUUUCUUGUCAGAAUUUCCACGAAGUUUUGAAUACCUGAAGUCUUUAGUGAAUCUAAAGAUGGCCUGUAAUGAACAACUUGUAGUAUUCCCUGCUCUCCCAGAAGGCCUCAUCAAUCUCAAUGCCAGAAGAUGCUCAAAAUUGCAAGCAAUAUAUUUCGCCAAUUAUAAUAAACUUUUGGAGACUCUUGAUUUAUCUCACUGUGAAAGUCUUACUCGACUUCAAACACUGCGCCCUUGGAAAUCUUUGAGACAUCGUAGACUAGACGGAUGUAAGAAACUUGAUAGAUUGGACUCUCUUCCAGAAUGCCUCAGAUCUCUACACAUUUCAGGAUGCUUAAGAUUGCAGGAAAUCUUCUUCAAUCCUUUUCCACCACCAUCAUCAAUCCUUUUUCAGCAACUUUGUUUGCAGCCCUCAGAUUUAACUUUCAACCGAGCUUUUUUUCUAUCCUCAACUGUUAACCCACCUGUUGACCAUCCCCUUGUUAACCGACCUAUUUUAUCAUCCCUUGAAGGUGAUGCUUUUAACCAACCUGUUUUCCAGUUCUUUGAAGAUGAUGCUGUUAACCGACCUGAUUUCCUGUCCUUAACUUUUAAGCUUUUAACCCACUUAUUGUCAAGUCCCUUGAGAAUGGUGUUGUUAACCAACCUCUUUUCCAGUCCUUAACUUUUAUUACACAUCUUGUCCAGUCCCAACAUUCUGUACACUCAUCAACUUUUAACCCAUCUGUUAAUUAUUCCCUUUCUCAUUUACCCUCCCUUGAGGGUGAUGCUUUUAACCAACCUGUUUUUCAGUCCUUUUAGGGAUGAUGCUUUGACUCUUCUUUCUCCGAAAAGAAAGAGCUAUGCAUGAUAGGCUGUGACAGCAUUGUUGUUGAAGGAUUUUCGUCAUUUGGAGCAAUUGGACAUGUCACUAUCUUCUGAAUCAGAUGGUGAAUCACAACAUCUUGUAGGUCAAAAGAAUCUCACAGUGCAAAGUUGCAUUGUGUGUAUCACUUUUCUUUUGGUUUGUGGAAGAAAGCGAGGAGACUGAUCAUCUUUCACAGGUGUGUGUGCUAAUGACAUAUUUGGACGACGGCUAUGGCUCUCAAUGGAAGUCCCAUCACGCAUGAAAGGAGAUUGCAGUGGAAAAUUUAUCAUGUUAGUAUUCAUUUGGGAUACAAAUCAUUUAUUAAAGGAGGUACACUAUGCGUUGUUCAUACUCUCUACAUGAUCGAUUGUUACAACGUGGGAGUGCAGUGUUCGUAAGGCAAGUGGACAUUUUCUCCUGGAAGAAAAUGCUACUUCUCAAAAUGCCAUUCAAUUUUGGCAACAAAGCAAAUUGUUCAUUCAAUGCCAUCUUCAUUAAUGUCGAUGGGAUUGAAAGUCGAAUUAUUAAAUUAAGUUUAUUA
Molecule: RNA transcript, 3668 nt
Organism: Cryptomeria japonica (Japanese cedar)
Lineage: Eukaryota; Viridiplantae; Streptophyta; Pinopsida; Cupressales; Cupressaceae
Gene name: disease resistance protein Roq1
Exons: 5
Source: RefSeq, a predicted model, not a curated record